Molecule: ribosomal RNA, 429 nt
Filed under: Pseudomonadota bacterium
Lineage: Bacteria; Pseudomonadati; Pseudomonadota
Description: Proteobacteria bacterium partial 16S ribosomal RNA
Rfam family: Bacterial small subunit ribosomal RNA
Source: RNAcentral
UGGGGAAUAUUGGACAAUGGGCGAAAGCCUGAUCCAGCCAUGCCGCGUGUGUGAAGAAGGUCUUCGGAUUGUAAAGCACUUUAAGUUGGGAGGAAGGGCAGUAAGCGAAUACCUUGCUGUUUUGACGUUACCGACAGAAUAAGCACCGGCUAACUCUGUGCCAGCAGCCGCGGUAAUACAGAGGGUGCAAGCGUUAAUCGGAAUUACUGGGCGUAAAGCGCGCGUAGGUGGUUCGUUAAGUUGAAUGUGAAAGCCCCGGGCUCAACCUGGGAACUGCAUCCAAAACUGGCGAGCGAGAGUAGGGCAGAGGGUGGUGGAAUUUCCUGUGUAGCGGUGAAAUGCGUAGAUAUAGGAAGGAACACCAGUGGCGAAGGCGACCACCUGGGCUCAUACUGACACUGAGGUGCGAAAGCGGGGGGAGCAAACAGG